GCGCUCUUGGCGUAGUGGUAGCGCGUGUCUCUCCUACGUAUCAUGCGUUCGAUGCGAGUGUGUAGGAUUCCUGCAAGACGAGGUCGUGGGUUCGACCCCCACAGGGCGCU
Sporisorium reilianum f. sp. reilianum is the source of this 110-nucleotide non-coding RNA. The record is from the annotation of a GenBank genome assembly. NCBI's taxonomy places the organism in Eukaryota, Fungi, Basidiomycota, Ustilaginomycetes, Ustilaginales, Ustilaginaceae.